RNAcentral lists this transfer RNA (72 nucleotides) under Entomacrodus stellifer stellifer. RNAcentral describes it as "tRNA-Val". It matches the Rfam family "tRNA". From Rfam's summary of the family: Transfer RNA (tRNA) molecules are approximately 80 nucleotides in length. Their secondary structure includes four short double-helical elements and three loops (D, anti-codon, and T loops). Further hydrogen bonds mediate the characteristic L-shaped molecular structure. tRNAs have two regions of fundamental functional importance: the anti-codon, which is responsible for specific mRNA codon recognition, and the 3' end, to which the tRNAs corresponding amino acid is attached (by aminoacyl-tRNA synthetases). tRNAs cope with the degeneracy of the genetic code in two manners: having more than one tRNA (with a specific anti-codon) for a particular amino acid; and 'wobble' base-pairing, i.e. permitting non-standard base-pairing at the 3rd anti-codon position. Lineage: Eukaryota; Metazoa; Chordata; Actinopteri; Blenniiformes; Blenniidae. The record is from RNAcentral.
CAAGGUGUAGCUAAGACAGUAGAGCGUUUCCCUUACACUGAAGAGUCCCCCGUGCAAUUCGGAGCACCUUGA